GCGAAGAGGCUAAACGCGGCGGACUGUAAAUCCGCUCCUUCGGGUUCGGGGGUUCGAAUCCCUCUCUCUCCA
This 72-nucleotide transfer RNA is filed under the name Streptococcus agalactiae. Its description in RNAcentral is "tRNA-Tyr". It matches the Rfam family "tRNA", at positions 10 to 71 of the family's 71-position model. From Rfam's summary of the family: Transfer RNA (tRNA) molecules are approximately 80 nucleotides in length. The record is from RNAcentral. Lineage: Bacteria; Bacillati; Bacillota; Bacilli; Lactobacillales; Streptococcaceae.